CAAUGAGUGUUUUAUGGCACUCUUUAAAAAUCCAUAUCCACCUUGUGUGCAAUGUUUGUUGGGAGAGAGGCAACUCUUUCCCUUCACAAAUAUCAACCUAUAUCUUUAACAACAUUCGUCUGAAACUUUUUAUUGACACAAUAAAAA
RNAcentral lists this unclassified non-coding RNA (147 nucleotides) under uncultured Mortierella. RNAcentral's name for it is "sequence contains ITS1". The record is from RNAcentral. Lineage: Eukaryota; Fungi; Mortierellomycota; Mortierellomycetes; Mortierellales; Mortierellaceae.